GUCCUUAGUUGCCAGCGGUUCGGCCGGGAACUCUAAGGAUACUGCCCUCGCAAGGGGGAGGAAGGUGAGGACGACGUCAAGUCAUCAUGGCCCUUACGCCUAGGGCUACACACGUGCUACAAUGGGAAGGACAGCAAGAAGCAAUACCGCGAGGUGGAGCAAAUCUCUAAACCUUCUCUCAGUUCGGAUUGUAGUCUGCAACUCGACUACAUGAAGCUGGAAUCGCUAGUAAUCGUAGAUCAGCAAUGCUACGGUGAAUACGUUCCCGGGUCUU
RNAcentral lists this ribosomal RNA (274 nucleotides) under uncultured Sulfurovum sp. RNAcentral's name for it is "partial 16S ribosomal RNA". It matches the Rfam family "Bacterial small subunit ribosomal RNA", at positions 1107 to 1382 of the family's 1533-position model. Lineage: Bacteria; Pseudomonadati; Campylobacterota; Epsilonproteobacteria; Campylobacterales; Sulfurovaceae. The record is from RNAcentral.